RNAcentral lists this ribosomal RNA (301 nucleotides) under uncultured bacterium. RNAcentral's name for it is "partial 16S ribosomal RNA". It matches the Rfam family "Bacterial small subunit ribosomal RNA", at positions 509 to 807 of the family's 1533-position model. The record is from RNAcentral.
CAGUCGCCGCGGUAAUACGAAGGGUGCAAGCGUUACUCGGAAUUACUGGGCGUAAAGCGCACGCAGGCGGUCUGACAAGUCAGAUGUGAAAUCCCCGGGCUUAACCUGGGAACUGCAUUUGAAACUGUCAGGCUGGAGUCUUGUAGAGGGGGGUGGAAUUCCAGGUGUAGCGGUGAAAUGCGUAGAGAUCUGGAGGAAUACCGGUGGCGAAGGCGGCCCCCUGGACAAAGACUGACGCUCAGGUGCGAAAGCGUGGGGAGCAAACAGGAUUAGAUACCCCAGUAGUCCCUGUCUCUUAUAC